GUCAUAUGCUUGUCUCAAAGAUUAAGCCAUGCAUGUCUCAGUACAAGCCAAAUUAAGGUGAAACCGCGAAAGGCUCAUUAAAUCAGUUAUGGUUCCUUAGAUCGUACCCACAAUUACUUGGAUAACUGUGGUAAUUCUAGAGCUAAUACAUGCAAACAGAGCUCCGACCGGAAACGGGAGGAGUGCUUUUAUUAGAUCAAAACCAAUCGGUGGCGGGCUCGCUCGUCAUCGUACAACUUGGUGACUCUGAAUAAC
This 255-nucleotide ribosomal RNA is filed under the name Thyestetha nitida. Its description in RNAcentral is "partial 18S ribosomal RNA". It matches the Rfam family "Eukaryotic small subunit ribosomal RNA", at positions 23 to 260 of the family's 1831-position model. Lineage: Eukaryota; Metazoa; Arthropoda; Insecta; Coleoptera; Curculionidae. The record is from RNAcentral.